Sapajus apella (tufted capuchin) is the source of this 94-nucleotide long non-coding RNA. RefSeq lists it as uncharacterized. Lineage: Eukaryota; Metazoa; Chordata; Mammalia; Primates; Cebidae. The transcript has 3 exons. The record is from RefSeq and is a predicted model, not a curated record.
AAAAAAUUUACAACUUGCAGAAGGCUCAAAUGAUUGUUAUCAUUUUUAAGCAAUAAAGUAUUUUUAAUUAAGGUAUAUAUUUUUUUUUAGACAU